GACAAACAUUGUGUGUAAACAAUAUCUCCUUCAUGGUGUGUGAGUUGGAGUUGUGUGGGAUAGUGUUCACACAUCUGCCCCUCUAUCUUAUGAACGACUCGACCCAAGAAUAGAGUAGUGGUGCAAUGGCAGGGUUUGGCUUAGAAGAAAUUGGCAUCCCAGGAGGUGUGUAUCUUAAGGAGUCACUUACACACUGUACAGAUCCUCUAAAGGCUAUAGAAGAAUUUCAGUUAGAGAAUGGGAUCCUUCUGCCAUCACUGAGACCCAUGUUACAUCUCUUGGAUUUGCACGGGGUUAAGCGACUUGACUUUCACAAUUCUAUCAUGGAGGUGAGAUGUGGCUUUAGCUU
This is a long non-coding RNA of Homarus americanus (American lobster), 349 nucleotides long. RefSeq lists it as uncharacterized. The transcript is spliced from 3 exons. The record is from RefSeq and is a predicted model, not a curated record. Lineage: Eukaryota; Metazoa; Arthropoda; Malacostraca; Decapoda; Nephropidae.